UGCAGUCAGGACAGUGUCUAAUACACAAAUUCCAUUUAAUUUCAUUCAUAGGGGAUUAUGUACUCGUCGGUGCCGAUAUUUUUAACAAAUACUGCCCUCCGCUAAGCUUUGGAGCAGCUGAAGAUGACUAGGCGAUCGCAUCCAAAAAUUUUUAUCUUUCACAAACGGAAAUGAGCUACGGGAAUACGUGGAGAAUGAAAGAUGGGACAAAGAUCUUCUGUGUGGAAGGAGAUGGAUGCUGUUGAUUUAUCCAUGGACUUUCCUAUUCUUAUUGAAGAAGAAAUUUGCAACAUUACAUUAGGAACUUACCAGAUGAAAAUGCCUAAGGCGUACUCGCACGAACAAUUACAGGAAGAUGGCGCUUACGACAUUCUCACCGCAGAGGAUGUGCCAAAUAUCGUCGGCACAAAGAUUCAAAGUCACAACUUUUUAGCCAUAAAUAUUUGUGUUGGAUACGCCACUGUAAAGGAGCUAUUGUAUCCUGUGGGCAUGUUCACGAAGCUAUCUUAAGACUAAGAUAUGUCUCAGACAUCACUUAGGACACGUCUUAGUCCUAAGUCAAUUUCUUGAAGCCGUCCUAUUUUAGGACAUGUCUUAAAAAAUAUCUUAACUUUAAGACAUCCUAACAGGUGUCUUAACUAGUAAAAAUGCCCGUCGCCUAUUACAACUACAUAAGAAGAAGAAACCCAAACCUACAUCGCGAGCGCAUAUUUCGAGAUAUCGACAACCCGCUUGAUUACCUAGAUGACACAGAUAUCAUCUGUAAGUACAGACUGCCCCGUAAUAUUAUAAUAGACCUUUGUGGACGCUUCAAUCGUGACCUGAGACGACCUACAUUGAGGUCACGCCCACUAUCCGUAUCGCUCCGAGUGAUGGUAGCUUUGAGAUUUUACGCCACCGGCAGCUUCCAAGCCGUUCUAAGUGAUGUGCACAGAAUAUCCAAACAUAGCGUGUCUAGAAUAAUUAAUGAUUUUACUGAUUGUUUAGUGAGACUUUCUCCUGAGUAUGUUAAAAUGCCUACCCAAAACGACUCGCAGGCUUCCCAAACACACCUCACAGCCUUAUUAGCAUAAUCGGAACCUUUCUGGUUUUUAUAUUCACGAAAGAAUGAAAAAACCCGAGAAAGUCAAAACUUCGUAUAUCUCGGGAUUUUAACGAGACCAGUCUCAUACUCGUGAAAAUCGAGAGAGGAGUUUAAAUGGAAAAACAUGAAACAGUCUGAACAGCAAUCCUCGAUUUUGUCAACAAUCUAAAACGUGCUAAGGAGUAGUCAUUCGUCGAUUUACCUGCGGCUUCCAGAUGAUCUGAAGAUCAGCAGGCAUGUUCACGAAACUUUCCUAAGAUAUGACCUAAGUGUGUUCCUAAGAUAUAACUUAGGAAAAAAGUUAGGAACAUCCUAAGAUCAACUUAGGACACGUCUUAAGAUGUAGCUCGACGGUAACUUAGGAACAUCUUAAGUUAGGAUAUCCUAACCUUCUACAACUAUUCAUAUUUUUCAUAUUUAUUCAUACAGAUCGAUUUUGAGAGACUUUUGUGGUGAUAAAUCAUUAAACAGUUUGCCAGAGAAAAGUGUACGUGUCGGUAGUUUACACAAUAUGCCUUACAUAUAUUCAUUUUUUAAAAUUUACAAUAACUUAAUUAUAUAUCAGUGUCCAAUAACAAUUUAGUUUAAAAAGAAACAAAAAAACCCAAAAAACAAAAACAGAAGAAAAAUGCCCCCCUCCCCCCGAAAUCCAAAUGACUGCUUUGUUUAUAAAAAAAAUAUUUAUCAGGACAGAACUGGCUUACAAAGCAAAUAAA
Molecule: long non-coding RNA, 1800 nt
Organism: Magallana angulata
Lineage: Eukaryota; Metazoa; Mollusca; Bivalvia; Ostreida; Ostreidae
Exons: 3
Source: RefSeq, a predicted model, not a curated record